GACGAACGCUGGCGGCGUGCCUAAUACAUGCAAGUCGAACGCAUUUUCUUUCACCGUAGCUUGCUACACCGAAAGAAAAUGAGUGGCGAACGGGUGAGUAACACGUGGGUAACCUGCCCAUCAGCGGGGGAUAACACUUGGAAACAGGUGCUAAUACCGCAUAAUUCCAUUUACUGCAUGGUAGAUGGAUGAAAGGCGCUUUUGCGUCACUGAUGGAUGGACCCGCGGUGCAUUAGCUAGUUGGUGGGGUAACGGCCUACCAAGGCUGCGAUGCAUAGCCGACCUGAGAGGGUGAUCGGCCACACUGGGACUGAGACACGGCCCAGACUCCUACGGGAGGCAGCAGUAGGGAAUCUUCGGCAAUGGACGCAAGUCUGACCGAGCAACGCCGCGUGAGCGAAGAAGGUUUUCGGAUCGUAAAACUCUGUUGUUAGAAAAGAACAAGGAUGAGAGUGGAAAGUUCAUCCCUUGACGGUAUCUAACCAGAAAGCCACGGCUAACUACGUG
This 507-nucleotide ribosomal RNA is filed under the name uncultured bacterium. Its description in RNAcentral is "partial 16S ribosomal RNA". It matches the Rfam family "Bacterial small subunit ribosomal RNA", at positions 28 to 507 of the family's 1533-position model. The record is from RNAcentral.